This 235-nucleotide ribosomal RNA is filed under the name uncultured bacterium. RNAcentral's name for it is "partial 16S ribosomal RNA". It matches the Rfam family "Bacterial small subunit ribosomal RNA", at positions 96 to 334 of the family's 1533-position model. The record is from RNAcentral.
CGGCGGACGGGUGAGUAAUGUCUGGGAAACUGCCCGAUGGAGGGGGAUAACUACUGGAAACGGUAGCUAAUACCGCAUAACGUCGCAAGACCAAAGAGGGGGACCUUCGGGCCUCUUGCCAUCGGAUGUGCCCAGAUGGGAUUAGCUAGUAGGUGGGGUAACGGCUCACCUAGGCGACGAUCCCUAGCUGGUCUGAGAGGAUGAUCAGCCACACUGGGACUGAGACGCGGCCCAG